This 253-nucleotide ribosomal RNA is filed under the name uncultured bacterium. Its description in RNAcentral is "partial 16S ribosomal RNA". It matches the Rfam family "Bacterial small subunit ribosomal RNA", at positions 524 to 776 of the family's 1533-position model. The record is from RNAcentral.
UACGGAGGGUGCGAGCGUUGUUCGGAAUCACUGGGCGUAAAGGGCGUGUAGGCGGUCCGCUAAGUCUGAUGUGAAAGCCCGGGGCUCACCCCCGGAAGUGCAUUGGAAACUGGCGGACUCGAGUCCCGGAGAGGAGAGUGGAAUUCAUGGUGUAGCAGUGAAAUGCGUAGAGAUCAUGAGGAAGACCAGUGGCGAAAGCGGGUCUCUGGACAGUUACCGACGCUGAGGCACGAAGGCCAGGGGAGCAAACGGG